Molecule: ribosomal RNA, 464 nt
Filed under: Vreelandella stevensii
Lineage: Bacteria; Pseudomonadati; Pseudomonadota; Gammaproteobacteria; Oceanospirillales; Halomonadaceae
Description: partial 16S ribosomal RNA
Rfam family: Bacterial small subunit ribosomal RNA
Source: RNAcentral
CCUAAGGGUGGCAGCAGUGGGGAAUAUUGGACAAUGGGCGAAAGCCUGAUCCAGCCAUGCCGCGUGUGUGAAGAAGGCCUUCGGGUUGUAAAGCACUUUCAGUGGGGAAGAAAGCCUUGGGGCUAAUACCCUCGAGGAAGGACAUCACCCACAGAAGAAGCACCGGCUAACUCCGUGCCAGCAGCCGCGGUAAUACGGAGGGUGCGAGCGUUAAUCGGAAUUACUGGGCGUAAAGCGCGCGUAGGCGGUCUGAUAAGCCGGUUGUGAAAGCCCCGGGCUCAACCUGGGAACGGCAUCCGGAACUGUCAGGCUAGAGUGCAGGAGAGGAAGGUAGAAUUCCCGGUGUAGCGGUGAAAUGCGUAGAGAUCGGGAGGAAUACCAGUGGCGAAGGCGGCCUUCUGGACUGACACUGACGCUGAGGUGCGAAAGCGUGGGUAGCAAACAGGAUUAGAUACCCGAGUAGU